RNAcentral lists this ribosomal RNA (371 nucleotides) under uncultured organism. RNAcentral describes it as "bacterial SSU rRNA". It matches the Rfam family "Bacterial small subunit ribosomal RNA", at positions 526 to 896 of the family's 1533-position model. The record is from RNAcentral.
CGUAGGGGGCGAGCGUUGUCCGGAGUUACUGGGCGUAAAGCGUCCGCAGGCGGUUCCGUCAGUUCGAGGUGACAGGGCGCGGCUUCACCGCGCCAGGCUCUUGAAGACGGCGGAACUUGAGGGCUUGAGAGGGACCUGGAAUUCCGGGUGGAGUGGUGAAAUGCGUAGAGAUCCGGAGGAACACCAAAGGCGCAGGCAAGGUCCUGGCAAGCAACUGACGCUCAUGGACGAAAGCCAGGGGAGCGAACGGGAUUAGAUACCCCGGUAGUCCUGGCCGUAAACGAUGACCACUCGAUGUGGGAGGUAUCGACCCCUUCGUGUCCAAGCUAACGCGCUAAGUGGUCCGCCUGGGGAGUACGGUCGCAAGAUUA